UUUCUACUCCCUCCGUCCGAAAAUACUUGUCAUCAAAAUGGAUAAAAAGAGAUGUAUCUAAAACUAAAAUACGUCUAGAUACAUUUCCUUUCAUCCAUUUUGAUGACAAGUAUUUCUGGAAGGAGGGAGUAUUUG
Molecule: non-coding RNA, 135 nt
Organism: Triticum urartu
Lineage: Eukaryota; Viridiplantae; Streptophyta; Magnoliopsida; Poales; Poaceae
Source: Rfam